Molecule: ribosomal RNA, 554 nt
Filed under: uncultured bacterium
Lineage: Bacteria
Description: partial 16S ribosomal RNA
Rfam family: Bacterial small subunit ribosomal RNA
Source: RNAcentral
UGGGGAAUUUUGGACAAUGGGCGCAAGCCUGAUCCAGCCAUGCCGCGUGCGGGAAGAAGGCCUUCGGGUUGUAAACCGCUUUUGUCAGGGAAGAAAUCUUCUGAGUUAAUACCUCGGGAGGAUGACGGUACCUGAAGAAUAAGCACCGGCUAACUACGUGCCAGCAGCCGCGGUAAUACGUAGGGUGCAAGCGUUAAUCGGAAUUACUGGGCGUAAAGCGUGCGCAGGCGGUUUUGUAAGACAGAGGUGAAAUCCCCGGGCUCAACCUGGGAACUGCCUUUGUGACUGCAAGGCUUGAGUGCGGCAGAGGGGGAUGGAAUUCCGCGUGUAGCAGUGAAAUGCGUAGAUAUGCGGAGGAACACCGAUGGCGAAGGCAAUCCCCUGGGCCUGCACUGACGCUCAUGCACGAAAGCGUGGGGAGCAAACAGGAUUAGAUACCCUGGUAGUCCACGCCCUAAGCGAUGUCAACUGGUUGUUGGGAAGGUUCCUUCUCAGUAACGUAGCUAACGCGUGAAGUUGACCGCCUGGGGAGUACGGCCGCAAGGUUGAAACUC